CCUAGUCGGCCGCUGAGAGGCGCGCGGAGUCUGGGCCGCUGCCGUCUAGGGGUCCCGUCCCGAGGCGUCCCCGGCAUCUCCGGCCCGAAUCCCGGAGUGCCGGGUCGCGCCUGCACCGAAGGUCCCGGCUCCUGUGCCCUCCCUGCAGCCGUCAGGGCCCGUCCCCCAACUCCCCUUUCCGCUCAGGCAGGGUCCUCGCGGCCCAUGCUGGCCGCUGGGGACCCGCGCAGCCCAGACCGUUCCCGGGCCGGGCAGCCGGCCACCAUGGUGGCCCUGAGGCCUGUGCAGCAACUCCAGGGGGGCUAAAGGGCUCAGAGUGCAGGCCGUGGGGCGCGAGGGUCCCGGGCCUGAGCCCCGCGCCAUGGCCGGGGCCAUCGCUUCCCGCAUGAGCUUCAGCUCUCUCAAGAGGAAGCAACCCAAGACGUUCACCGUGAGGAUCGUCACCAUGGACGCCGAGAUGGAGUUCAAUUGCGAGAUGAAGUGGAAAGGGAAGGACCUCUUUGAUUUGGUGUGCCGGACUCUGGGGCUCCGAGAAACCUGGUUCUUUGGACUGCAGUACACAAUCAAGGACACAGUGGCCUGGCUCAAAAUGGACAAGAAGGUACUGGAUCAUGAUGUUUCAAAGGAAGAACCAGUCACCUUUCACUUCUUGGCCAAAUUUUAUCCUGAGAAUGCUGAAGAGGAGCUGGUUCAGGAGAUCACACAACAUUUAUUCUUCUUACAGGUAAAGAAGCAGAUUUUAGAUG
RNAcentral lists this long non-coding RNA (746 nucleotides) under Homo sapiens (human). RNAcentral's name for it is "long non-coding RNA NONHSAT192235.1". Lineage: Eukaryota; Metazoa; Chordata; Mammalia; Primates; Hominidae. The record is from RNAcentral.